CCUACGGGAGGCAGCAGUGGGGAAUAUUGGGCAAUGGGCGCAAGCCGGACCCAGCAACGCCGCGUGAAGGAAGAAGGCCCUCGGGUUGGAAACUUCUAUUAGCAGGGACGAAAAAAAGGACGGUACCGGAUGAAUAAGCAACGGCUAACGACGUGCCAGCAGCCGCGGGAAUACGUAGGUGGCAAGCGUUAUCCGGAUUUACUGGGUGUAAAGGGCGUGUAGGCGGAAGGCCAAGUCAGCGGUAAAAUCGCGGGGCUCAACCUCGCUCCGCCGUUGCAACUGGCGUUCUUGAGUGGGCGAGACGUAUGCGGAAUGCGUGGUGUCGCGGUGACAUGCCUAGAUAUCACGCAGCACUCCGAUUGCGACGGCAGCAUACCGGCGCCCAACUGACGCUGCCGCACGAACGCGUGGGUAUCGAACAGGAUUAGAUACCCCAGUAGUC
RNAcentral lists this ribosomal RNA (442 nucleotides) under uncultured bacterium. RNAcentral describes it as "partial 16S ribosomal RNA". It matches the Rfam family "Bacterial small subunit ribosomal RNA", at positions 338 to 795 of the family's 1533-position model. The record is from RNAcentral.